RNAcentral lists this transfer RNA (74 nucleotides) under Candidatus Falkowbacteria bacterium CG_4_9_14_3_um_filter_38_19. RNAcentral's name for it is "tRNA-His". It matches the Rfam family "tRNA". Rfam says of the family: Transfer RNA (tRNA) molecules are approximately 80 nucleotides in length. Their secondary structure includes four short double-helical elements and three loops (D, anti-codon, and T loops). Lineage: Bacteria; Candidatus Falkowiibacteriota. The record is from RNAcentral.
GUGGCUAUAGUUCAACGGUAGAACACUAGAUUGUGGCUCUAGUGACCUGGGUUCAACUCCCAGUAGCCACCCCC